AUGUGGGACCAUUUUAUUGUCAUUGCUCGCAGGUUUGAAACUGGAAAUGAGAUUUCCAGGGAUUUUUCCUUGGAAGACUUGCUUAUAUCUGUGAAGGAAUGUGGCACUGCUGCAAGAGGAAAGGAAGCAAAACAAUCAAGGAUAAUCCCUGCAGCUUCAAAUAAUUUUGACCGAAAACUCAUCGAUGCCAUAAAGGAUAAAAGAUUGAAUUUACUGGCACAUGACUGGUAUUGCCUUCAUCCAGUAAGGGGAGAGGAGAUUCUAUUUUGCCCAGGUACAGAUUCAUUGCUACCAGUGGAGAUGGUUGAGCAUCUUAGAAAAGGCAUUGGUGCGAAAGGGCGGCUAGUGCAUGUUGAAGACAUUGGUGCUCGGAGACCUGUUUAUGUAGAAGUUCCACAUGAACUAUCUGAAAAUAUGAGAUCUGCACUUCACAGUAUUGGAAACAUGCAACUAUAUAGCCAUCAGGCAGAGUCAAUACAAGCCUCACUUUCUGGGAAGAAUGUUGUUGUGGCAAAAAUGAGAUCCAGUGGGAAAUCUCUUUGCUAUAGUUUGCUAGAAGUUCUGUCGCAGAGUUCUUCAUCAUGUGCUCUGUACUUAUUUCCAACGAAGGCUUUAGCUCAAGAUCAACUAAGAGCUUUGUUGGCUAUGACCAAAGGAUUUGAUGGUAGCUUAAACAUUGGUGUAUAUGAUGGUGAUACUACUCAGGAGGAGAGGACAUGGCUAGCGCUGCGCCAUAAUUCUAGACUGCUAAUCACGAAUCCAGAUAUGUUGCAUGUAUCAAUCCUACCACACCAAAGACGAUUUGCGCGGAUUUUGGAAAAUAUUAGGUUUGUAGUCAUUGAUGAGGCACAUAUUUAUAAGGGAGCAUUUGGUUGUCAUACUGCUUUUAUCUUAAGGAGACUUCGACGGCUAUGCUCACAUGUGUAUGGAAGUGAUCCUUCUUUUGUGUUUUCAACUGCAACUUCGGCAAAUCCUCACGACCAUUGUAUGGAACUUGCAAGUUUACCAACUUUAGAGCUGAUUCAGAAUGAUGGAAGUCCUGCUGCUAGAAAGCUCUUCAUCCUUUGGAAUCCUUUUGUGGAUCAAGAAACUGUGAUGAAGAAUCCCAAUAAUAUUAUGGAAAAUGGUAAAUCUUCUGAUGAAAGUGCCAACUUCAAAAGCUCAAGCCCGAUUUUGGAUGUUUCAUGCCUCUUUGCUGAAAUGGUACAGCAUGGACUACGCUGCGUUGCUUUCUGCAAAACACGCAAGCUUUGUGAACUUGUAUUGUGCUAUACGCGUGAAAUUCUUCAGCAGACAGCUCCCCAUCUGGUAGACUCUAUAUGUGCUUAUCGUGCUGGUUACAUUGCUCAGAAUAGGAGAAGAAUGGAGAGUGAUUUUUUUGAUGGAAAGCUUUGUGGUAUUGCUGCAACAAAUGCCCUUGAAUUGGGUAUUGAUGUUGGACACAUUGAUGUAACUCUUCAUUUAGGUUUUCCUGGUAGUAUCUCUAGCUUGUGGCAACAAGCUGGCAGAGCCGGGAGGAGAGAUAGACCUUCUCUUGCUGUGUAUAUUGCUUUUGAAGGGCCUCUUGAUCAAUAUUUUAUGAAAUAUCCAAAGAAACUUUUUGGAAGCCCAAUUGAGUGCUGUCAUGUUGACGCUAAGAACCAACAGGUUCUUGCACAGCAGUUGGUUUGUGCUGCUCACGAAUAUGCACUGAGUUUGUCUUAUGACGAGAAGUUUUUCGGUUCUGGUUUAGACAGUGCCAUAGUGUCUCUUAAAAAUAGAGGAUAUUUGAGUUAUGAUCCAUUAUGUAAUUCUUCUGCUAAAUUAUAGAACUAUAUUGGGCGCGAGAAAAUGCCUUCACAUUCAGUUAGUAUACGAUCAAUAGAAACUGGGAGAUACUAAGUUAUAGACCAGCAAAAGAAAGAAAUCCUUGAAGAGAUUGAGGAAAGCAGGGCUUUUUUUCAGGUAUAUGAAGGUGCUGUUUAUAUGAACCAAGGAAAGACGUAUCUGGUCACAAGCUUAGAUUUAUCAUGUAAGAUUGCUUCGUGCUAUGUGGCUGGUUUGAAGUAUUACACAAAAAGCCGUGAUAACACAGAUUUUCAUGUCAUCGGCAGUCAAUAUGCUUAUCGGCCUCAGCUCUCCAACAUCCAGUUCUCAAGAACAACGGCCCGAGCAGAUCCUUGCAAAGUAACAACUACAUGGUUAGGGUACCAUCGUGUAUCUAGAGGAAGCAAUGAGAUCAUGGAAACAGUUGACCAUGUACUUCCUAAAUAUUCUUAUGAGUCACAGGCAGUUUGGGUUCCGGUUCCACAAUCAGUAAAAGAAGCUGUAAUUAUGAAAGACUUGAUUUCCGAUCAGGGCUGCAUGCUGCAUCACCUGUUGUUCUAAACGUUGUGCCUUUACGAAUAAUAUGCAACUUAUCAGACUUGGCUCCAGAGUGUAUAAACCCUGAAUACACCCUCUAUUACCCGGAAAGGAUUCUAUUAUACGACCGGCAUCCCGGAGGAAGUGGUGUCUCUGUACAGGUUCAGCCGAUUUUCCUGGAGCUCUUAAUUGUUGCUUUGGAACUUCUUACAUCUUGCCGCUGCUCAGAACAUGGAGGCUGCCCUAAUUGUGUUCAAAGUUUUGCUUGUAAGGAGUAUAAUGAGGGUUCGCACAAGGAGUCAGCAAUUAUGAUCAUUAAGGGUGUUCUUGAUGCGGAAUUAUGAUAUGCACAAAUCUUCUUAAUCUUCAUAAUCUUGAGUGAAGCAAAGCAGAAGCAGCGGUAUUUGAUACUGACCAGAUUAACUUCUUUUUCCCUAUUUCUCGGUAUGUAUAUAUAUAUAUGUGUGUGUGUGUGUGUGUAAACAAUCCUUUGUAAUUUUUACGGUGUGGUGCAAAAGAAACUUGCUGGUCUUCACUCACCACAGUGAAGUGAUUAACAGUUGAAGUUAAGAGGAAGUUAAGUGAUCAGGAAUCAGAGAGUGGUACAAAUACGAGUACGAGAAAGUUCCAGAAAUAUAAACGUUGUGGUGAUGAACAGAUGAAGUGAUUAGUAGGAAGUAGUAGGCUAUUUUUGCUUUUGAAAACCACAAAUGAAGCAUAGGCAGGCAGAGGAAGAAACAAAAAGAAUAAUAUGAAGGAUGCCUCGAUAUUUUUGGUAGCUCAUGCAAAUCAGGCAUUCUCUGUGUGUAAAUGUGAACUCAGGGAUGGCCAGUCUUAAACCAAUUGUGUUCCUUUUACAAUUCUGACUGCGUUCAGAGGCUAUUGAGAGCUUACUUUGCUUUCAGCCGGUUUGGCCAGAGGGUUUUUUUCG
RNA transcript from Prunus persica (peach), 3274 nucleotides. It is a transcript of the gene named ATP-dependent helicase hrq1, with no coding region annotated. NCBI's taxonomy places the organism in Eukaryota, Viridiplantae, Streptophyta, Magnoliopsida, Rosales, Rosaceae. The record is from RefSeq and is a predicted model, not a curated record. The transcript has 26 exons.